UACAGAGGUCCCGAGCGUUGUUCGGAUUCACUGGGCGUAAAGGGUGCGUAGGUGGGUUGGUAAGUCAGUGGUGAAAUCUCCGAGCUUAACUUGGAAACUGCCAUUGAUACUAUCAGUCUUGAAUACCGUGGAGGUCAGCGGAAUAUGUCAUGUAGCGGUGAAAUGCUUAGAUAUGACAUAGAACACCAAUUGCGAAGGCAGCUGACUACGCGAAUAUUGACACUGAUGCACGAAAGCGUGGGGAUCAAACAGG
This 253-nucleotide ribosomal RNA is filed under the name uncultured bacterium. RNAcentral describes it as "partial 16S ribosomal RNA". It matches the Rfam family "Bacterial small subunit ribosomal RNA", at positions 524 to 776 of the family's 1533-position model. The record is from RNAcentral.